Molecule: ribosomal RNA, 72 nt
Filed under: Anoxybacillus flavithermus
Lineage: Bacteria; Bacillati; Bacillota; Bacilli; Caryophanales; Anoxybacillaceae
Source: RNAcentral
ACGGAAGUUAAGCUCUCCAGCGCCGAUGGUAGUUGGGGCCAGCGCCCCUGCGAGAGUAGGUCGUCGCUAGGC